GGCUCGUUGGUCUAGGGGUAUGAUUCCUGCUUCGGGUGCAGGAGGUCCUGGGUUCAAAUCCCGAACGAGCCC
Molecule: transfer RNA, 72 nt
Filed under: Schistocerca americana (American grasshopper)
Lineage: Eukaryota; Metazoa; Arthropoda; Insecta; Orthoptera; Acrididae
Description: tRNA-Pro
Rfam family: tRNA
About the family: Transfer RNA (tRNA) molecules are approximately 80 nucleotides in length.
Source: RNAcentral